AUUUGUUGACAGGUGUGGGAGGAAGUCAGCCAGAGUGGGAAGGACUUCGUGAAGCGGCUGUUAGAGGUCGAUCCCAGUGCCAGGUUGACAGCUGUGGAGGCACUAAGACACAAGUGGAUAUUAGCGCAUCACCACAACACCUGCACUCAACAGUCACAGUCACCAGUUGAGUCGUGGAGUCGCUGCUCAUCGUCCCACUCAUCCAGAUCUGCUCGCUCAGCCACAUCGCUGCGGGCAGGCCGGAGACGCGUCCAACCUCAGGAACUAGAGUGGUUGACACAGUCACUACAAACAUCGGUUACCAGGCCCACUCUACACCCGACCUACACCAGCUGAGGACCUGCUAGAUAAAUGGAAUAGUUGAACUUCAAGCAUCUGUCACUCAACACAGACAACUUGAGAGUGUCUUGCCUGCCCCAUCAUAAGUUACUAGCAACACCAGACUGGCACAUCAAGAACCAUAAUCACCGAUGCAUUGAUGAUACUUAACGAUGCAGUUACAGUGUGUUAGGCUGUGGACAUUAAUGAUAGCAUCUCUCAUGGGCUACAAUCAUUGUGAGGUUUAAUUAGACAUUACUAGGAUGAUAAUGACACUUUAAAGCUGCCUUGUGAUUACAAGUUUUUAAGUGUGUUAAGUGAAAUAAGUGGUACACUUUGCAAGAGUCUUGGUACUCCUGAAACUUAACUCUUAGUUACAGACUUUCCACUGAGAUGUGUUUGAUGUAAAUAUUAUUGUUAGAGCAGUGAAAGACUGGUGGUCAAGUCUGACUCUAACUUGAAAGUUGUUAAAGUCUUGCAAGUGAUGGCAGAUAACCACAGACCUGGUUCUUAGUCACUACUUGGCCACUGACUUAUGAUCAUUCAGUGACUUACGCUUGUUCGGUGACUUAUGAUCAUUUAAUUACUUUGUCAUUACACUCAUUACUCUAGCAGUGAUCAUUCAGAUCGCUCAACGACCCAUGUGGGUUUAUCAUUUUUCUGAACCUAACAGUUGAAGUCGUUACCUGGGUAAUGGCCAUACAGUGUGCUCAAUGACCCACAGCGACAUCAGUCCAUGGGACCAGGAGCUGUACCAUAACCAGUAGUGAAGGGUUCUUGAUCCAAGGAAUUGAACCUGAUUGCCUCUCAUCCAUGAGCACUAUAUUAGCCCUGUGGGUUUAGUGCUCUAUAUAUACAAUCAUUACUCUUAUUAAGCUCCUCGAUAUAUUUAUUUGUACACCCCUACUUUUGGUUGCUAGGGGUUGAGCCUCAGCUCCUGGCUCAGAUUAAUUUGUGAUGAACAAGUGUUGAUGAAUAAAGAGAAAGAUGGA
Non-coding RNA from Cherax quadricarinatus, 1310 nucleotides. Lineage: Eukaryota; Metazoa; Arthropoda; Malacostraca; Decapoda; Parastacidae. The record is from RefSeq and is a predicted model, not a curated record.